Molecule: long non-coding RNA, 659 nt
Organism: Cryptomeria japonica (Japanese cedar)
Lineage: Eukaryota; Viridiplantae; Streptophyta; Pinopsida; Cupressales; Cupressaceae
Exons: 4
Source: RefSeq, a predicted model, not a curated record
GAAAAGAAUUAAAUUUUGAGUAUUAUUUGUAAAUAAAGAAUUUUUAUUCCAAAAAUGGAAUUUUUGGGUCAACUCUUCCAUAUAACCCAAAUUUGGGGAAAAAUGGAAGGAUGGACAAAUUGGGAGAAGACUUUGGUUGGGAAGAAAUUUUGGAGAUUUUGGGAAGGAAUGAUGCUGGAUCUGGCAGGUGGGCUCUCCUUCAGCCAUUCCAGGAUUGCGUAUUAAGAGUCAAGGGCUAUCAUAAGGUACUAUGCUGAAAAAUUUGAAGGACAGGGAACUUGUCUGCUGGGAAAGACUUUGGAGGAGAGAGCAUUUAUAGAUGUCACGCCAUUCAUGGCACUAACAUUGGAUUCAUGGGUGGGCCCAUUUCUCAUGUUGGUAUUAGCACUUCUCACAAGCCAUUGACAACAGAGGAUUACUGAGUUGCAUCAUCAACUUAGGACUUCUAGAUGCAAGAGAUGUCUAUAUGAUUCCAUGCGAUCUUGUUUUCUUUGUAAGUUUUGGUGCUUACCUGAAUAUCAAAGGUUAUUUUCCCUAUAUAAAUGACUGUGCUAUAAAAUGAGAGAAAAUUGCAUCUCUUCUCCUCACUAAUGUUAUGUUUAUCAGAUUAGCUUGAUACAUGGAAUUCCUAAUGAAUAGUAAGAUGAAAUGUUUGUAUC